CUUUGGCAGGCUCAGCCCAGCUGCUCCCUGCCUGUGGCCAGGAACAGGGUGCAACAUCUGGACCUUGGGAGAAGCUUCUGGAACAUGGAAAAGGCUUAAUCUGGAACCAGCAGCUGCUGGGGGUCUCAGGGCCCUUAGAAAAACAGAGCAGACUUGGCCUGUGGUGGGAAAAAACAGGAAUGGGCACGAGGGGAUGCAAAAUUAAACUCGGUUGUUGCGUAUUGACCUCCACUUGAAGAAUGCCAGAUCCAAUUAACAACGGUUAAUGAGGCUCAGGGAAGGCAGGAGUGACCUUCCCAAGGACCAGGUGAACUCUCAGAGAUGUGAAUUUGCACAGAGCACAAUAAAUGCAGGAAUACCAAGGCAUGGAGCGAGGAAUUCAGCAAACCCUCUCGGAAAAACCUCUGCUGAAAUCUGCUCCAGAGCAAAGCUGCUCGGGAGACCUUGGAAAUUCAUUUGUGAAGAUCAGGUGAGCCCUGAGUGUGUUCCAAGGGUUUAAAAUGACUCUCAUUAACUCCUUAAAUGAGGAAGAGUUCCUGCAGUUUCAAUAACGUGCCCAGAGGAGCAGUAAGAAGUGAGAUUUAAGGAAACUUGAAUCAAAUCUGACUUUCAUUUCAACUUGCAGAUGAUCAGGGAGGCAGCAGUGCUCUGUGCUUCAGGAUGAGGAGGGCGGUAAGAAAAUCCAAAGCGCCCCAGAAAUCCCAGUUUAAAAGCUGCUGUCUCAGGGAGGAUAAAACCCAUUUGUCUCCCACUGAGAGCAGGACUUUGCAAGGACCUGAAAUGAGGGAUGAGGGACGAGGUUUGGGCUGCUGAACUCCAGCCAUGAUCAGAACCAUGGGCUCCUUCAGCCUGGAAAAGCCCUCUGGGAUCAUCUCAGCCCAGCAGCACCAGCAGGGAUCGCAGCCGCUCCACGGGCGGGGAGGGCUCGGAGCCAGCGCUGCAGGAACCGGGGGAUGCUCAGCUGGGAGAUCCCAGGGAAAGGCUUUCCCAGGAUUUGGGAUGUUGGAGCAAACAGCUCUGGGCUCCUGGCUGGGCCUGGCUGAUGAGCCCCAGCACGGAAUGAGCGAGAGGGGAAGAACAAAAGGCUCCUUUGAUGUGCUCACCCGCACCAUGUUCAGCACAAAAUGCAAAUGUUCCCUCACGCUGGAGAACACUUAUCAAUAUUAAGGCAUACACGGAGCAGAAGAAAGGAGGAAGAACAAAAUACAACACUUAACAAGAGGGUAAUUUAGCCUGUUGGCAAGUGCUUCAAGCCGAGUUCAUGAAAAAUUACUCAGACAAUUGUUUUGUGGGGGUUCUGGGCCGUUCUGCAUAAAUCAUGAUAUGGAUUCCAUGGGAGGCCAGAGCUUGAUCAGGUGUGAGAGGG
Molecule: long non-coding RNA, 1366 nt
Filed under: Cyanistes caeruleus (blue tit)
Lineage: Eukaryota; Metazoa; Chordata; Aves; Passeriformes; Paridae
Description: lncRNA (ENSCCEG00000004084.1)
Source: RNAcentral